CCUACGGGAGGCAGCAGUGGGGAAUUUUGGACAAUGGGCGCAAGCCUGAUCCAGCCAUGCCGCGUGUGUGAAGAAGGCCUUCGGGUUGUAAAGCACUUUCGGACGGAACGAAAUCGCGCGGGCGAAUAUCCCGCGUGGAUGACGGUACCGUAAGAAGAAGCACCGGCUAACUGCGUGCCAGCAGCCGCGGUAAUACGUAGGGUGCGAGCGUUAAUCGGAAUUACUGGGCGUAAAGCGUGCGCAGGUGGCGUCGCAAGUCAGGCGUGAAAUCCCCGGGCUUAACUUGGGAAUUGCGCUUGAAACUACGAUGCUGGAGUGCGGCAGAGGGAGGUGGAAUUCCACGUGUAGCGGUGAAAUGCGUAGAGAUGCGGAGGAACACCGAUGGCGAAGGCAGCCUCCUGGGUCGACACUGACGCUCAUGCACGAAAGCGUGGGGAGCAAACAGGAUUAGAUACCCUGGUAGUUCACGCCCUAAACGAUGUCUACUAGUUGUUGGGGGAGUUAAAUCCCUUAGUAACGCAGCUAACGCGCGAAGUAGACCGCCUGGGGAGUACGGUCGCAAGAUUAAAACUCAAAGGAAUUGACGG
This 587-nucleotide ribosomal RNA is filed under the name uncultured bacterium. RNAcentral describes it as "bacterial SSU rRNA". It matches the Rfam family "Bacterial small subunit ribosomal RNA", at positions 338 to 916 of the family's 1533-position model. The record is from RNAcentral.